GUGGGGAAUUUUGGACAAUGGGCGCAAGCCUGAUCCAGCAAUGCCGCGUGUGUGAAGAAGGCCUUCGGGUUGUAAAGCACUUUUGUCCGGAAAGAAAUCUCCUGGGUUAAUACCUCGGGGGGAUGACGGUACCGGAAGAAUAAGCACCGGCUAACUACGUGCCAGCAGCCGCGGUAAUACGUAGGGUGCGAGCGUUAAUCGGAAUUACUGGGCGUAAAGCGUGCGCAGGCGGCUCUGCAAGACAGAUGUGAAAGCCCCGGGCUCAACCUGGGAACUGCAUUUGUGACUGCAAGGCUAGAGUGCGUCAGAGGGAGGUGGAAUUCCGCGUGUAGCAGUGAAAUGCGUAGAGAUGCGGAGGAACACCGAUGGCGAAGGCAGCCUCCUGGGAUGACACUGACGCUGAGGUGCGAAAGCGUGGGGAGCAAACAGGAUUAGAAACCCCAGUAGUCC
Molecule: ribosomal RNA, 450 nt
Filed under: uncultured bacterium
Lineage: Bacteria
Description: partial 16S ribosomal RNA
Rfam family: Bacterial small subunit ribosomal RNA
Source: RNAcentral